RNAcentral lists this unclassified non-coding RNA (286 nucleotides) under Phaeocollybia graveolens. RNAcentral describes it as "partial contains 5.8S ribosomal RNA, internal transcribed spacer 2, and large subunit ribosomal RNA". Lineage: Eukaryota; Fungi; Basidiomycota; Agaricomycetes; Agaricales; Phaeocollybiaceae. The record is from RNAcentral.
CGCACCUUGCGCUCCUUGGUAUUCCGAGGAGCAUGCCUGUUUGAGUGUCAUUUAAUUCUCAACCUUGCGAAUUUUGUUCGAAAGGCUUGGAUAUGAGGGCUUUGCUGGCUUCAAGUCAACUCCCUUGAAAUGUAUUAGCGAGUGAUCAGACUUCGUCUAUUGGUGUGAUAAUUAUCUACGCCAUUGGAUUGUCUUGGUUUUCACUGCUUCCAAUUUACAAUUGUCUUCCUACAAUUCUAUUUGACCAUUUGACCUCAAAUCAGGUAGGACUACCCGCUGAACUUAA